AUUGAACGCUGGCGGCAUGCUUUACACAUGCAAGUCGAACGGCAGCGCGGGCUUCGGCCUGGCGGCGAGUGGCGAACGGGUGAGUAAUACAUCGGAACGUGCCCAGUAGUGGGGGAUAGCUCGGCGAAAGCCGGAUUAAUACCGCAUACGACCUGAGGGUGAAAGCGGGGGAUCUUCGGACCUCGCGCUAUUGGAGUGGCCGAUGGCAGAUUAGCUAGUUGGUGGGGUAAAGGCCUACCAAGGCGACGAUCUGUAGCUGGUCUGAGAGGACGACCAGCCACACUGGGACUGAGACACGGUCCAGACUCCUACGGGAGGCAGCAGUGGGGAAUUUUGGACAAUGGGCGAAAGCCUGAUCCAGCAAUGCCGCGUGUGUGAUGAAGGCCUUCGGGUUGUAAAGCACUUUUGGCGGGAACGAAAAGGACUGUGCCAAUACCACGGUUCGAUGACGGUACCCGCAGAAUAAGCACCGGCUAACUACGUG
This 484-nucleotide ribosomal RNA is filed under the name uncultured bacterium. RNAcentral describes it as "partial 16S ribosomal RNA". It matches the Rfam family "Bacterial small subunit ribosomal RNA", at positions 29 to 507 of the family's 1533-position model. The record is from RNAcentral.